Molecule: long non-coding RNA, 229 nt
Filed under: Elaeis guineensis (African oil palm)
Lineage: Eukaryota; Viridiplantae; Streptophyta; Magnoliopsida; Arecales; Arecaceae
Description: long non-coding RNA (EGUI_LNC021634)
Source: RNAcentral
CUCAUGCCUAAUAGUCAUUAUUGUAUCUUUGCGGUGCAACUGAACCAUUAUAUCCAGUCGAAAACAAUCAACCCGGGGAAGGGCUCACACAACUACAACGGUGGAAGACUACUAGACUUAAUAUUUUUUUAAAAAAAUUUGAUUCAGGUCUCAUCCUUAAUUAGUCAUAAUAGUUAUGACUAACCUAAUGGCAUGGGCUAGCUCGAGUUCAACAAGUCAACCUAAUACA